AACCUAAUCCUUGUCCACUUUCCAUGCACCCAAAUUAGUCUGAGCGUUGUUAUCUGCAUAUUGCAGUGCGUGCAACGCCCUAACCUACGAGGAGGAGAUCCUGCUCCUGCUUUCUCUUCCUAUGGACUAAAUCUAUCUCUCGUCUCUUCCAAGGUUGCAAAUCAAGUUUCAGCAGCUACUCGAUCCAUCAGGUGGAAGAUACCAUGACAAGAAAUGUGAUCUUCAAAAGUGGCCUCGAGCAAAGCCCAGAGAGUCCCAGCAGAGAGUCCCGUCAACUUGUCCAACUCGACUCCCAUAUUCCAUUUCAUCCAAAAAGACUCUUCCCACUAUGAAGUCUGUGGUUUAGACUUCUGUUCGGGAGGAAGUGCAUGCCAUCAUUCCCUUUGAAACGCCACUAGUUGCCAUCUUGCUUGGAAAUCAGUAACAGGUUGCGGUUUCCUGUCGAGUAGGAUUCCAGCGCAAGGAGAUCAAAUUAACUUUACCGGUGGAAAUAAAGAAAUGGAAUGGCAUGGCAUCAUGUGGAUGAAAAGAAAAAGGAAACACAGAACCUAAGAACAGUACCUUUUAAGGGAUGAACUGGGUUCGAUUUAACGCAAAAAGUAGAACCAUUUGGCCUAAGUUGGAACAUGAUCAUAUCCAAGGUCUCCAUUUAGACUCCCAGGGGAGUCACUUCGUCGUGUAUGUGCAUCCCUAUCGUGCUUGCUUUAGCAAAUCAUUGCACCUCUCGGUAGAGAGGCACCAGCAAAAAGAGGAGAGCAGGCAGUGGCCAACCCCCAUCGCCUGCUCAUUAGAAUUCCCCUCGAGAGCAGGGAGAAGUUUGGAGGUGUCGGUAGAAGCAAACCAUCUUCCAUUACCUUUCUGACUUGAUACAGCUCCCGGUGGUAGCCAUGCUGCAGCUCCUGUCGGCCGUGACGAGGAGGCUGAGAUGGCCCAAGAAGCGCAGCGCACGGGUGUUCGACGAGGCGGCUCUGGCGCUCACUCCCGAGGAUGCAGCGGCCGCGCGCCGCCCGUGGGGAGCUCUCGCGACGCUGUUGGCGAUCGCUCGUGCGCCGCUGGCGGUAGCGACUUGCUUUGCAUGCCAGGCUGAGGACAUGGAAGCAGGGGGCCGUCUCCAUGCAGCGGAGGUAGGUGAUUUGAUGGUCGGGGAGGCCAUGCGCUUUGCCAUCUAUCUGUAGGCGUUCGGCUUUGAUCUUUGUCUAUAUAUAAGAAUGAUAUGAUGUACUUUGGAAUACCGAGGAAGAAAAAUAGAGAGGAUUUCAAAUGGUUGUCUUGGUUUCA
Long non-coding RNA from Musa acuminata AAA Group (dessert banana), 1278 nucleotides. RefSeq lists it as uncharacterized. The transcript is spliced from 2 exons. Lineage: Eukaryota; Viridiplantae; Streptophyta; Magnoliopsida; Zingiberales; Musaceae. The record is from RefSeq and is a predicted model, not a curated record.